GGAGAGAUGUCUGAGAGGUUUAAGGUGUAUGUCUCGAAAACAUAUGUAGGGUGAUACCCUACCGUGGGUUCGAAUCCCACUCUCUCCGCCA
Molecule: transfer RNA, 91 nt
Filed under: Clostridia bacterium
Lineage: Bacteria; Bacillati; Bacillota; Clostridia
Description: tRNA-Ser
Rfam family: tRNA
About the family: Transfer RNA (tRNA) molecules are approximately 80 nucleotides in length.
Source: RNAcentral